This 22-nucleotide microRNA is filed under the name Oreochromis niloticus (Nile tilapia). RNAcentral's name for it is "oni-miR-10603b". Lineage: Eukaryota; Metazoa; Chordata; Actinopteri; Cichliformes; Cichlidae. The record is from miRBase by way of RNAcentral.
UCAAGGGCUUCCACACUAUUGA